CCUACGGGUGGCAGCAGUAGGGAAUAUUGCUCAAUGGGGGAAACCCUGAUGCAGCAACGCCGCGUGGAGGAUGAAGGUCUUCGGAUUGUAAACUCCUUUUGUUAGAGAAGAUGAUGACGGUGUCUAACGCAUCAGCACCUGCUAACUCCGUGCCAGCAGCCGCGGUAUUACGGAGUGUGCAAGCGUUACUCGGAAUCACUGGGCGUAAAGAGCGCGGAGGCGGGCUAGCAAGUCAGAUGUGAAAUCCUAGGGCUUAACCAUAGAACUGCAUUUGAUACUGUCAGGCUUGAGUAUGGGAGAGGUGGGUGGAAUUCCAGGUGUAGGGGUGAAAUGCGUAGAGAUCAAGAGGAAUACUGAUUGCGAAGGCGACCCGCUAGACGAAGACUGACGCUGAGGUGCGAAAGCGUGGGGAGCAAACAGGAUUAGAUACCCCAGUAGUC
RNAcentral lists this ribosomal RNA (440 nucleotides) under uncultured bacterium. RNAcentral describes it as "partial 16S ribosomal RNA". It matches the Rfam family "Bacterial small subunit ribosomal RNA", at positions 338 to 795 of the family's 1533-position model. The record is from RNAcentral.